CCUACGGGUGGCAGCAGUGAGGAAUAUUGGUCAAUGGGCGUAAGCCUGAACCAGCCAAGUCGCGUGAGGGAUGAAGGUUCUAUGGAUCGUAAACCUCUUUUAUAAGGGAAUAAAGUGUGGGACGUGUCCUAUUUUGUAUGUACCUUAUGAAUAAGGAUCGGCUAACUCCGUGCCAGCAGCCGCGGUAAUACGGAGGAUCCGAGCGUUAUCCGGUUUUAUUGGGUUUAAAGGGUGCGUAGGCGGCCUUUUAAGUCAGCGGUGAAAGUCUGUGGCUCAACCAAAAAAUUGCCGUUGAAACUGGGGGGCUUGAGUGUGUGUGAGGCAGGUGGAAUGCGUGGUGUAGCGGUGAAAUGCUUAGAUAUCACGCAGAACCCCGAUUGCGAAGGCAGCCUGCCAAGCCAUGACUGACGCUGAUGCACGAAAGCGUGGGGAUCAAACAGGAUUAGAUACCCCUGUAGUC
Molecule: ribosomal RNA, 460 nt
Filed under: uncultured bacterium
Lineage: Bacteria
Description: partial 16S ribosomal RNA
Rfam family: Bacterial small subunit ribosomal RNA
Source: RNAcentral